Molecule: non-coding RNA, 72 nt
Organism: Aromia moschata
Lineage: Eukaryota; Metazoa; Arthropoda; Insecta; Coleoptera; Cerambycidae
Source: the annotation of a GenBank genome assembly
GCGGCGAUAGCUCAGUGGGUAAAGCGUCAGGUGAGUAACCUAUCCGCGCGGGUUCGAAUCCCGCCUGUGGCA